RNAcentral lists this ribosomal RNA (200 nucleotides) under uncultured prokaryote. Its description in RNAcentral is "partial 16S ribosomal RNA". It matches the Rfam family "Bacterial small subunit ribosomal RNA", at positions 1183 to 1382 of the family's 1533-position model. The record is from RNAcentral.
CGUCAAAUCAUCAUGCCCCUUAUGUCCUGGGCUACACACGUAAUACAAUGGCGUUUUACAAUGGGAAGCAAUGCCGCGAGGCGGAGCAAAUCCCCAAAAGGCGUCCCAGUUCGGAUCGCAGGCUGCAACUCGACUGCAUGAAGUCGGAAUCGCUAGUAAUUCUGGAUCAGCAUGCCAGGGUGAAUGCGUUCCCGGGCCUU